AUUGUCCGCACUGGAGGGGAAGGAAGAGGAGUUUGCCUCAGCAGUGGAUUCAUCAUUCAUGGCUAAAGGAUGAGUGAAGAGCCCUGAAAGGUGCCUCACACGAGGACCAAGAGGUCACUUCUUUUGAAAGAUGGCUUUUAGGCCCCUUACCUCACCAGGACGUCAGUCUCCAAGACACUCACACCGCAACGGAUGGCCUUCUGGAAGGACAUCAGAGUGUUCUCAGGUGCAAGCUGGAAGAAGAAGAGAGAGACAGACCUGGAGGAUUUUGCUGUUCCCUGCCAGUCUCCAUCCACUGUAUGGACCUACAACCAACACUUACAACCUGUCCGACUUGUUUCCUACUCCUCCUUCUGGGUGUCACCCCUAAGAAGCAGACGGUAUCAAUACUCCCAGCGGUUUGGAACAGGAAUGUAAAGAAUGCUCACAAGUUUUCUCACCCUUCCUGAGAAAGGGCGUCCCCACAUACUGUGACACCUUGUCAAGAAAAUGGUCCACUGCCAUGAGCUUUAUCACAUUCCAUAACACUUUGGACUCUGUUUGCAGUUGGAAAAGUGGGAUGGCAGAGGAUUACUUGGAGCUGUCCCUGCAGAAUAUGCAAUGUUCAUAGUGCAGCUGCAGCUGUUAUAGACUGUUUUCUCUGAGCCAGUUGCAUGCUCUUACCUGAAGGGAGAUGCGGGCGCUUUCCCACUGCUCUGACCAUUGGACUUCCAGCCCCACAAAAGCAGCAGCCACUGCAAGUACCGUCAAAACAAGGAGACCCUUCAAGAAAGCAGAGGGAGAAAGGGAAAGAUCUAAGAAAGGCAACCCAGUAGUGGAUUUUCAAGAACUUCCACUGCCCUAGAUCAAGCUUCCUCAACCUAUGGCUCUUGUUGGGUUUGAACUCCCAUCAUCCUCUCUCAGCUCUGGUACCAGGGAAGACCCUUUAAGCAAGGACAGUUCCACUUGUGUUUUCCAUGCAGACCUUAGCCUACUGUUGGCACUCAAUGAAGUCCAGUUGGAAUUACAGGAUUACAGAAUUGGAAGGGGCUUCAAAGGCUAUAUAGUCUAACCCAAAGUUAGGGUUACCUUGUGUAGCCAAUGGAGGUUCAGAGGCUGGUGGCAGAGCUGUAGGCAGAUUGCUAGAACCUGGGAUUAAAAAGAGAGAAAGGUUAGAAACGCAAGGAACCACUUCUGUUGAUCAGCUUCCAUUAUGAGAAUUUUAGAGAUCAUGGCAGGGCAUAGGAAGAGUCCAUUUUGGGAUGACAAUUCCCCAAAUCCCCUACUCAGCAUAGGAAUUAUACUCUGAGCUGAGCCUCCUUAGGCUUGAUGCAGAAGUGCAGUAAAUAACGCAGCACUAAGAAAGAGAGCAAUUGUUAUUGAGUCCUCCUGGGAAUAAUAAUAAAAAACUGUCUGCAACCUAUCCCAGCUACAAUUACUUGGGAGUAAGCUCAGUCUAGCAUAGUGGUUUUGGUGUACAACUACAACUCUGAAGAUCAGGGUUCGAUUCCCAGUUCAGCCAUGAAACCCACUGGAUGACCUUGGAUAAGUGACACACUCUCAGCCUCAGAGGAUGGCAAUGGCAAACCCCCUCUGAACCUUGCAAAAAACCAAACAAACCAUGAUACGUUCCCCUUAGGAUCAUCGUAAGUCGGAAACAACUUUGAAGGCACACAACAACAACAACAGCAACAAAGCUCCACUGACCCGUCAAAGGGCAUUUUGCACUUGCAAGAACAUCAGUUGUUUCUGGGUUAAUGGAAGGGAAAAGCUGUGUGGGCAAGGAGGCAAAAUUAAGGAAUCACCUUCCUGCUAAUCUUGAGAGCCCUUCCCGAUUUCAAAACAGCUCCAGGGGCUCUGUAUAUCAGGUUUGGGACCCAGCCAUGCCUGAUCCUCCCUUCCCUUGGGUCUGAAGGGGUGUGUAUGUGUGCGCACACUAUCUCUUGCCAAUCCAGAUCUACUGCAGUUUGAAGGUGGCAUCCUGGGAGGGCUGUUUGGGCUGCAUCCACACUGGAGAAAUAACCUGGUUUAGUACUGUUUUAACUGCUCUGCUCUGGGCCCCGCAACAUACUCCAACUCCCAGAAUUCGAUAGCCUUGAGCCAGGGCAAUUAAAGCAGUGCCAAACCGGGUUAUUUCUUCAGUGAGGAUGCAGUCCUGCAUGCAUUCCCAAAGGGACCUCCUGUUUCCAAAGCUGCUUCCAGGUUUCAUGCAUAUCUGUCUGGUUUUGCAGGACAUAGAAAUAACAGCAGCCACCCUCUUGCAAUUGACUUGGCAAAAUUUACCCAUACGCCUUCAAUGCAUAUUUAUGCCUCAAGGGAGGGAAGAAGGGCUUUGCUGCUCUUAACAGCAACUGCAACGACAGAAGUCAACUGGUAAUUUUUACUAAGUAGGUUUAAUUUUGCCUUUCCCCGAAGGAUACUCUGAGAGCGGUCGUCUUUUCUGAGGCAGCUGCAUCAAUUUAAAACCUGAUUUAUAUCCUGCCUUCCAUCCAAAAAACGGUGCUCAAGGCUGCUUGCAACAAGACUAAUAAAAAAAAAGAAACCGUAUUAAGUUAUAAUAAAAAAGAAGCCAGAAAAGGCAAUGAUAUCAAAACACACGUUGUCCUGUGAAGACACUGUUGAAUUAAAGAAAGAAAACCAUUUCAAAGUGCAUAAUUUCACUAGCACCCUUAGGCCCUGUGUAUUUAAGCCACUUUGGAGCUGCAAUGUAGAGAUGCUGCUAGGAACGCCCUGCAUCAGAUGGAAAAAUACGACUCUAAAGGCCCAAGAGACCCUGGGAAUUGGACCCUUUUGUAAUCCGAAGUAGGGCCGAAGUAGGGUGAAAUGGGGCUGAUGCCAUUCCUGGCAAAAGAGACAGAGACCAGUCCAUACCAGGAGCAGGGAGGAGUAGGUCACCAGCGUCGCCGUUGCAGAUAUCAUGACCACUGACCAGUCCAGCCACCAGUCUGUCUUGCGGAAAAUGAACCUGUUGGGAAGAAAGAAGAACCAGGGAGAUGUUAUGGCAAAGCUAGAUAGAGAUGGAUAGCCGUUCCGAAAAGCAAAACAGGAACAGAUGUCCCAGUCUGCAGAUUUGCAAACAAGAUUCUCCGUUUCCUGCUGUCAUGGCCCUGGAAAAAAAAGGUGCAGGUGGAGUCCCAGAAGAAGCUAAUCCAGA
Sceloporus undulatus (fence lizard) is the source of this 3133-nucleotide long non-coding RNA. RefSeq lists it as uncharacterized. The transcript is spliced from 3 exons. Lineage: Eukaryota; Metazoa; Chordata; Lepidosauria; Squamata; Phrynosomatidae. The record is from RefSeq and is a predicted model, not a curated record.